Molecule: ribosomal RNA, 459 nt
Filed under: uncultured bacterium
Lineage: Bacteria
Description: partial 16S ribosomal RNA
Rfam family: Bacterial small subunit ribosomal RNA
Source: RNAcentral
UCUACGGGGGCAGCAGUGAGGAAUAUUGGUCAAUGGACGAGAGUCUGAACCAGCCAAGUAGCGUGAAGGAUGACUGCCCUAUGGGUUGUAAACUUCUUUUAUAUGGGAAUAAAACAGGGUAUGCAUACCCUCUUGUAUGUACCAUAUGAAUAAGGAUCGGCUAACUCCGUGCCAGCAGCCGCGGUAAUACGGAGGCGCCGAGCGUUAUCCGGAUUUAUGGGGUUUAAAGGGAGCGUAGGUGGAUUGUUAAGUCAGUUGUGAAAGUUUGCGGCUCAACCGUAAAAUUGCAGUUGAAACUGGCAGUAUUGAAUACAGUAGAGGUGGGCGGAAUUCGUGGUGUAGCGGUGACAUGCUUAGAUAUCACGAAGAACUCCGAUUGCGAAGGCAGUUCACUGGACUGCAACUGACACUGAGGCUCGAAAGUGUGGGUAUCAAACAGGAUUAGAUACCCCUGUAGUC